Molecule: long non-coding RNA, 3926 nt
Filed under: Homo sapiens (human)
Lineage: Eukaryota; Metazoa; Chordata; Mammalia; Primates; Hominidae
Description: HSALNT0372495
Source: RNAcentral
CUGGGACCACAGGCACAUGCCACCACACCUGGCUCAUUUUUGAAUGUUUUAGGACAUGUAGCCCAGGCUGGUCUUGAACUCCUGGGCUCAAGUGAUCCUCUUCCCUUGGCCUCCCAAAGUGCUGGGAUUACAGGUGUGAGUCACUAUGCCCAGCCUGAGUGUCUUUGUGUGUAUUUGGUGGGGGUGGGGGGAAAAGUGUCACUCUGUUGCCCAGGCUGGAGUGCAGUGGCGCAAUCUCCGCUUACUGCAGCCUCUGCCUCCUGGGUUCAGGGGACUGUCCUGCCUCAGCCUCCAGAGUAGCUGGAAUUAUAGGUAUGCACCAUCACGCCUGGCUAAUUUUUGUAUUUUUGGUAGAGAUGGGGUUUCACCAUGUUGGUCAGGCUGGGUCUCAAACUCCUGACCUCAAAUGAUCUGCCCGCCUCAGCCUCCCAAAUUGCUGGGCUUACAGGUGUAAGCCACUGUGCCCAGACUGGGUGUCUUCAUUUUUAAGGCAGAGGUAAAAUAGUGCUUUCUCCAUAGCAUUGUGGAGAGGAGUAAAUGGAAAGCUCUGAGUCAAAAGCUUGGCUCAGACCCCAGCCCUCAGAGGGGCUGGAAGGACUGGGCACAGUGGUGAUGAUGAGGAGGGAGGAGUCUAGGAUGAUCCCAGGUUUCUGGGUGACUGGGUGGAUGAGGGAGCAUUAAUAAAGACAGAUGAUACCAGAGAAAGAACUGGGCUGGGAGACAGGUAAUUUCUUCAGUUCAGUUCCUACUGAGUUGAAGUCGCCUCAGAACUUUUCAGGAGGAAAGGCCCAGUUGGAAGUUAAGAAAUGGCUUUGAAUACUUGGCUGGAAACAGUCUCAGCUGUAAGCAGCUGUGGCAAAUGUGCAUGUGUUAGGAUGCCUGGAGAGAGUGUAGCUUGAGAGGACAAGAAGUGCUAAGAGGACCAAAACUCCAAACUGGGUGUUAAAUGCUGAGGCAAGCCAGGAAAGACUGAGAUUGUGCAUCCUGAGAGGUCGAGGGAAGACCUGCAGAAAGGAGCUUCCUGGAAACCAACAGAGAAAUAGAAGAUAAUGUUUCCAUCUUCGACGGCUUUACAAUCUGAUGAAGGGGCAAAAACAGAAACACAUGCAACAACCAAAGGACUUUCUCAAGACAAAAUACCAGUGAGGACCAAUUAAAGCAGCCCCAAAUAGUGUGGAUAUGCCGGAGGACUUCAGCGAGGAGGAGACACGGGAGGCAGGCAAGGUGCACCACGGGCUGUGGAGAAGACGUACUUGAGCUGGGUUUGCAGGAAGGAAUGCAUCUGGGCUGGCCAGAGGCAGGGAAAGGGCAUCCAGGUCACGGCUGGGCUGGAGACCAAGGUUCUGCAGGGUGGAGUCCACUCCUCCACUGUAGGGUGGAGCAAGCCCUGUUCAGAAAUAUAGAUGGUUUCAGGCAGAAAUGUAGAGGCAUUUUGCUCUGAUGGAGCAAAUAUUUUCUUCUAAAUAGGGACUUUCUUCUCUCGUGUCAAUUUUCUUUUUAAAAUUUUCCUUUAUUAUUGGGCUCCAUUCCUCAGCUCCUUCUGUCACUCUAGAAGCUCGUUUCCUCCUGCCUCUUCCCUUUGGGUGAUAUGCACACUCGAAUGUCCCCAGUCAGAGGCAGACACUUUCCAGGCUGAUUUUAAUUCUUUAGGAGCCUGAAAGGUUGGAAAGAGCAUGGAAUCUGAGCCUAGGGCCCUGGUUGGAGCUGCUGCCAGUUACAAGCUGUGAAACUAUAAGCAAAUCAUGGCAUUCCACUGCGGUUGCCUCUGGAAUGGAGAGGAUGCUACUCUGCUCCUUCAGUCUGUGACGCAUGCUAUGUGAGGUCAUCUAAGGGAAGCCAUUAGGGAAACAGUGACAGCACAGGGGUGAGGAGCUCACAUAACUCCUUGGCCUACACGGGAUUGAGCUUCAGGGGCCACUGUGGGGUCGACGUCAGGGGUUCUGUGGGGUGGUCAGGGGCUCUGUCGGGUGGAGUCAGGAAGUCUGUGGGUGGAAUCAGGGGCUCUUAGGGCUGGAGUCAGUGCUGUGGGGUGGAGUCAGGGCUGUGGGUAGAGUCAGGGAUCUGUUGGGUGGAGUCAGGAACUCUGUGGGGUGGAGUCAGGGCUCUGUGGGGUGGAGUCAGGGCUCUGUGGGGUGUACUCAGGGCUCUCUGGGGUGAAGUCACGGCUCUGUUGGGUGGAGUCAGGGCUCUGGGUGGAGUCAGAGCUUUGUGGGUGGAGUCGGGGCUCUGUUGGGUGGAGUCAGGGGUUCUGUUUGGUGGAGUCAGGGCUCUGUGAGGUGGAGUCAGGGCUCUGUUGGGUGGAGUCAGGCAUUCUGUGGGUGGAGACAGGGCUCUGUGGGUGGAGUCAGGGAUUCUGUUGGGUGGAGUCAGGGCUCUGUUAAGUGGAGUCAGGGCUCUGUGGGAUGUAGUCAGGGAUCUCUGGGGUGAAGUCACGGCUCUGUGGAGUGGAGUCAGAGCUUUGUGGGUGGAGUCAGGAGUUCUGUUGGUUGGAGUCAGGGCUCUGUGAGGUGGACUCAGGGGCACGGAGCUUCUUAUCGGAGGCUGUCUGGAGGGAGUCUGUGGUUCUGGCACGGCGAUGGUUGUGGGGUAGUGAAGCUGCACUGGGGGCUGGUGCCUGCUUGCUGACUGAUGAGCAUUCUGGGGACUGACGUGGGGAGCAAAAGCCUACCUCUCUCUCUACCUGUUUAAGGCCCACGACAUGGCUACAGAGUGGAGAAGGUGCGAAGGCCAACCUCCCUUCUGAGAGGACAGCGGGGGCCUGGGCAUGUCGGCCCGGUGCUCCUUGAAUCUCAGGAGAAAAGGCCUAGGACGCAGAGGGAUGGUGGAUGCUGGGUCCUGGCAGGUGGAUAGAGGGAACCGAGACGGGUAGAAAUUCCUGGAAAAUGAAGAGAGCGCUAUUUCAGAGGGGGAACAUCUCUGAAUCAGAGGAGGCAGCUGCUGACUUUUGCUGAAAGGGAAAGGAACCUUCAGGACAGCGGUGGUGGCAUCAGCUGGGCCGCCUAGGGCUCCGCAGCCCUAAGCCUGCACCGGCCCUGUCCUUCCCUUGGGGCGACGGGACCUCCCCGCAGGGCCCUGCGCAUGGGGACUGGGGCAUGGGACAGGGCUCCGCAGAGAAGACCUGCCUGAGCCGGGCAGCUGGGCCCACCAAGGCCGCCAGACAGCCCAAACCCUUCCCAGGCUGCAGGGAGGCCCCAGCUGGUGUGGCCUCAAACCGGCAUCUGUUUCUUCACUCCUGGGGCUCCCUUUGAACUUGAACCUUGCAAAGCCCAAGUAACAAUAAAAAAGCCAAGGAACAGGUGCUGCUGCAGAGGACGGAGGACAGGCCGGCUGGGAGCCUCAGGGGGUGUCGCCUUUGUUUCAGCGCCUUCAGUCUCCCCGCUUCCGCAUGAAACUGCUCGGGACCCACGUCAGCGCCAAGUUCCAACAAGGAAAAUAUAGCAGCGCACAAUAUGUUGUUUUGGCAGAAAGCUAUGAAUUUUAGUAUGGAAUGUCUGUCACAGGGCCCAUCCAAUUAACUCACUUGUCGAGAAAUCAGAAUAAAUAGUUGAGAGGAGGCGACUGCAGCUUUGCUCAGACCUUUAUUUCUCAUUUGUUUUCAUGGUUAAGCAGGUCUGCAGUCACCAGGAUGUAUAUUUAGGGCAGGGAAGGAGAGAAUACGCAUCUUCACGGUGGUUCUCCCUUUGGAGGGAAAGAAGGGUAUUUUCUAUGCAUUUUGGAGGAGGGAAUUCUGGUGAGCUUCUGUUUUAGAAAAGUGUUAUGGAGGCAACCCUGGCAAACUCCCUCGAGUUUUGGACUCAGUGCUGUUGAGUCUGAGACAAGGACUGGGCCCUACCAGAGAAGUUUCUCUUCCUCCUUAGGUUAUCCACGGUGGCUGAGACAAGGUCUUGCUAUGUUGCCCAGGCUGGUCUUGAACUCCUGGAUGCAAG